RNAcentral lists this transfer RNA (68 nucleotides) under Quadrula quadrula (mapleleaf mussel). RNAcentral describes it as "tRNA-Leu". The record is from RNAcentral. Lineage: Eukaryota; Metazoa; Mollusca; Bivalvia; Unionida; Unionidae.
UGCAAGUUAGUAUACUAAAAUACUUUUAACUUAGGAUUAAACAUAAAAGAUUAACCCUUUACUUGCCA